UCCAUUUUCCUUUCUUUCUCUAUACUGUUUAUACCUAUUUGCUACCUGUCAAUUUUGAUUUCUCUAGCAUCCUUCUUAGACUUUGUGGGCUACCUUUUCACCUAUACAUUGCUAAGGAAAUAACUUGGUGUGAUUUUAUAUAUAGAUAGAUCUUGCAUACCUCAAUUAUAGCUAUACAUAGGGAAUUUACGUCUGAGGAUUGUCCUUUACAGACUUUUUAUCCCCUUAUAUACUGGUCUCGCUGUCAAUGUAGAUAGUUUUCUCCUUUGUAUUCCUACCUGCCCACC
Non-coding RNA from Pelobates cultripes (western spadefoot toad), 287 nucleotides. The record is from the annotation of a GenBank genome assembly. Lineage: Eukaryota; Metazoa; Chordata; Amphibia; Anura; Pelobatidae.